This 274-nucleotide ribosomal RNA is filed under the name uncultured bacterium. RNAcentral describes it as "partial 16S ribosomal RNA". It matches the Rfam family "Bacterial small subunit ribosomal RNA", at positions 523 to 796 of the family's 1533-position model. The record is from RNAcentral.
AUACGGAGGGUGCGAGCGUUAAUCGGAAUUACGGGGCGUAAAGCGUACGUAGGCGGACUGAUCAGUUGGGGGUGAAAUCCCAGGGCUUAACCCUGGAACUGCCUUCAAUACUGUCAGUCUUGAGUUUGGGAGAGGUGAGUGGAAUUCCUAGUGUAGAGGUGAAAUUCAUAGAUAUUAAGAGGAACACCAGUGGCGAAGGCGGCUCACUGGCCCAUUACUGACGCUGAGGUACGAAAGCGUGGGGAGCAAACAGGAUUAGAAACCCUAGUAGUCC